This is a long non-coding RNA of Apis laboriosa (Himalayan honeybee), 462 nucleotides long. RefSeq lists it as uncharacterized. The transcript is spliced from 2 exons. The record is from RefSeq and is a predicted model, not a curated record. Lineage: Eukaryota; Metazoa; Arthropoda; Insecta; Hymenoptera; Apidae.
UCGUUCGAAUCGUUCGCCAGCUCGAUGCAAAUUGAAUUUCAACUUUCCACGAAGAAGAAGAAUUCGAGAACUACUCUUCCCCAUACCGACCACGACAAACGAAAUACCUUCUACUCCUCUGUUUCCACGCGAAACGGAGCAUCGAAUCCACGAUCGAUCCGAAGAAGCAUCCUUUAACCGAUACUCGAUAAGACAACGAGGUGAAACACGAUGAUGAUAUCACUAUCCAACACCUUGCGACAAAAUGAAACACGUCAAGGCCAUUCUCGGAAAUAUCCAGAUAUAAUAUUAACCAGAGGAUUCGUGUGGAUAAAAAAAUUUAUAUCUGUCAAUGAUAACGGUAUGACGGUGAAACUAUUAAAGAGUCAAAAAUACACGCACGUGUGAAAUACGAAUCGUCCCCCGGAGGAUCAGAAAUUUUGUAAUUUGUACGUGGCUGGAUUGUAAAAAAAAAAAGUAAAA